This is a long non-coding RNA of Canis lupus familiaris (dog), 2874 nucleotides long. RefSeq lists it as uncharacterized. NCBI's taxonomy places the organism in Eukaryota, Metazoa, Chordata, Mammalia, Carnivora, Canidae. The transcript is spliced from 3 exons. The record is from RefSeq and is a predicted model, not a curated record.
UGGGACUGAAUCCCAGGACCCCAGGAUCACACUCUGAGCUGAGUCCCAGUCCCCAUGCCAAUCUACUGGAAGAGCACAUGUCUGUGCUCGGAGUCUGAGCCGAAGGCAGAUGCUCAACCACUGAGCCACCCAGGCAUCCCAAGUAAGAAUGUUCUAAGGAUGGAAUUCUAUGGUGUUAAAGGUCCAGAGUUCCCCACAUGUUGUGAUGAGGCCCAGGAUCUCUUUGGCCGUCUUUCACCUGGUUUGGGGGAUACUCUUUCUUCUCCUCUACCAUGCACGAGCACUUUGAACAAUUUGGUCACAGACCCUGACUCUGACCCUUUGUGAAGUCAUCCCUCCUUUUGCAGUCUCUGUUUUCUCAUCUGUGAAGUUAGGGGAUCAGAUGAUUGGGUUCUUGCACUUGCCAUUCCUCUGCCCCGGAGUUCUCAGGGCUUCUCCUCCUCCUCCCGUCAGGUUCUCAGAUGUCACCUUCUCAGAAAGAUCAUCCCUGGUCACCAAGUGGCAGUAGGUCCCUCUGUUGUCCCUCUGCUACAGGCUUCUGUGUUCCAUUCCUGUUCUUCACGUUCCCCGGGACUCGGACCACCAGCUAAAGUGCGUCCCAAAGGAUUUUUAUUCCUAUUAUAUAGACGAGGAAGGAGAUGCUUGAGGUCCGGAUUGUCCCACAUCAAGAGACUAGUCACUGAUGAAUCCCAGAGUCGCAGCAGCCCGAUACCAAUGCCAGAGCCAUGGGCUUUGUCUGCAAAGGAGCUUCCAGCAAUGAGAGGAUAAAGCCUCUGCUUCAAAAUGGAAGAUCUGGUGUCAGAUGAAUGUGCAGCAGGCCACUGUGUUUGACAGAACAUCGUAGGCAUUGAGCAGCUGGAGCCAAAUGGGAGCCAGGAGGAAGGAGGUGCCAGGACUAUCAAAAAUGGGUAUAAAGAAGAAAACCGGGCAGGAGCAUGGGACACUGAAGUGGGUUGGCCUGCGGAUUUGUAUCUUAGCCAGGAAAAAAAAAAAAAAUUAAACCAAGAUCUCUUGAGCUUUGAAGUUGCCAACCCCCAAAUUCACAGUUGUCUUCUUUUUAGUUAACCAUGAGAGUCUGCUUCAGAUCUUGGAAACCCAGAGCCUGUAUUAGUGGGGGAGUGUGGUAUUUCUCCAUAUCUGUUCAGGAAACGAUCACAUCGUGUGGUCAGGGUGAUAGCCUUUACCGGUUCAAAUCCCACACAUAACAGCAGGGACGCUGAGGCUUUGGGGGCCAUGCAAGUGGACAGCCUGAGGGACAAAAUGUUAGACAGUUGGUCUCCCCUGGGGCCCAACCCAUCAGGCUGUUUUCUCUCUUACGUCAUCACCAACAUGUUCUGAACAAUUCAGAAACAAAGGUUUAGAAAAUGUACAGCCGUUCAAAAAUAGAUUGUUGCUAAUUGGUAACAGAGCUUUACAUACGUUUACAUGACAUCUUGGAAAGGCCUAGAGCUGCCCCAGCUUUAGCGCUGGGCUUCUGUGGAACCAGCUGAAAGCUCUGUCCCAGGGAGAGAGCCUCGGCUAAGAUGGGGCGCACAUUGCUCAUUUCACUCAGACCCUAAUUCAGUCCUGCCCCUGGAGGGAUCAAGGGCUCCCUCCACCCCAGUCGCUGGGUCAGCAUUUCUCCCUGCCAGCUCUUCAGAAGCAGAGAGGGACAAGUCAGUCCCAACGAUUGAUAUGAUAUGUGGAAUAGACUUAAGGAGACAAAUACUUUGUUAAAAAUAAUGCUUAUGAAAAAUGUUUCUUCGCGCACUGUAUUUUCCUUUGAAAAUGAUGAAUGCUGCACUUGGAAACAAGUUGUCACAUUGGUAUCAUAUUCCUUAAAGCUCACUUUUCUGUUAUGAAAAAUCCAAUCAAACAGGAGUUGUGGGGCAGCUCUAACCUAGGGGGCCACCCCCUCCCAUGACUGUGAAUUCAUGUUAUUCCAACAGAGUAACUGACACUGAGAAGCAGGGAAUGGGGGCUGGCAACCAGACGGUGGCCUCUGUUCUCUGUUGGCAGGGAGAAGGAAGAACAGAUGCAAUUAUAAAUAGAAUUAUAGCCCAAACCAGGAUUACUUGGAUAACUCAGUCAACACAGGGUUUUGUUUGAUUCAAUUUUCUAGAUGAUUUCAUCAAUGAUUAACCUAACUAUGUUAGUGGAGAUCUAAAAGGAGAGCCAGCUUAAACAUACUCAGCAAGGCCAGCAUUUACUUUUUGCUUUUUUUGAACACUAGGAGUAUCUCCAGUUAUUGGCUUCUUUGGCUAGACAGUGCUAUCCACAUUUAUUUUUUGUGACAAAGCAGGAAAAAAAAUUACUAAGAGACUCUGUUUGGAAAUCUGAAAGAAAAUGGACAAGCUGGAGAAGUAUUCAUGCCGAAUAAUGACCUUAGAUGUCUUACCCAAAUGGAGUGCCAGGUCACACCACUGCCAGAGCAAUCAAUCAGUCUGUGUCUGUCUCUGUCUUUCUCUCCACGAUAUCAUUUGAUUUCUGUUUCUCUCCACAGAACAUGUAAUUCUUUGCAUGUAUAGUGAGAUGUGUUCCUGUGGCUCAGCUAGCUGCAAAAAUAAAAGUUGGAUGGUUGAUUGCAUUCUAAAUUGACCUCCUUGACUCACCAGAAUGCACGGCCUUUGGAAAUGCAUAUCAAAGGCACAAAGCUGGACGAAUGACCCAUCCACUCUUGACGUUUCCUGAAAAUGAAAUUACUGGAUAACAGAUUUGAUUAGGAAAUUCUUUCCAAAGUUUGCCUCGGUUUUAGUUCUUCUUUGGGCUUGAGCUUAUAAACUUAAAAGCGUCAGAAAGAGGAUUUCUCAUUUGGGAAAGAAUGUACAUUUGCCGCCUACUCAUAUCAAUCGAAACAUGAAAAUUGCUCUUUUUAAUCAAAAGCUUCUAAACAAA